GAUCAUGGCUCAGGAUGAACGCUAGCUACAGGCUUAACACAUGCAAGUCGAGGGGCAGCAUGGUCUUAGCUUGCUAAGGCCGAUGGCGACCGGCGUACGGGUGAGUAACACGUAUCCAACCUGCCGUCUACUCUUGGACAGCCUUCUGAGAGGAAGAUUAAUACAAGAUGGCAUCAUGAGUCCGCAUGUUCACAUGAUUAAAGGUAUUCCGGUAGACGAUGGGGA
Molecule: ribosomal RNA, 225 nt
Filed under: uncultured bacterium
Lineage: Bacteria
Description: partial 16S ribosomal RNA
Rfam family: Bacterial small subunit ribosomal RNA
Source: RNAcentral